ACAGGUGCUGGACUCAUCUAACCGUGGUCAUGUCAGAAAGACAACUAUUUUCUGCACUAUCUGAUGGAGAAGUAAGCUCUGAUGGACAUGACAGAGGAAUUGAUGUUUCCGAUGUCCCUGUAGAAAAGAGUAGCCUGACAUAAAAGAUGGAUCCCAGAGGACUGAACAAACAAACUGAAUAGUCAGAGGAGCUGACAGACCAGCUGUCACUCCACAGAGAGGCCAGUGAAGGAGAAGAAUAAAGCUGUGGAGUGCAAAGGAUUUGACUGGACCUGGAGGAUCAGGUGGCAGUGAUAAAGAGUAAACAAAAGAAGACACAUAAUAAAAACAGUCUUUCUAACUUUUCAUUGUUUCUGCUGUAAACAACAUUAGCUGCAGACUUUGGUGAGAAGCACAGUCUUCUGAGGAAGUAGAAGGGGAAGAAACCAAAUUCAGCUGUGAGAAGAGAGAUGAAGGGAUAACCAAGAGUUUGGUUGCUCUUCAUAUUUUGACCAAGCACAAAGUCACUCUGCUAAGCAUCUAAGAAACUGAAAAGAUUGGAAUUCUUAUAUGUUGAUGAGAAUAUCUUCUUUAUCAUAUUAUGCUGAGAUAUCUGUUCUAUGUCAAAAUUAAAAAUAAGUAUUUACUACAAAAAUCCGUGUGUCUGUUUUCACAGAUGCAACCUAGCAAUUUUAAAUCAAUUAUUCUAUUUUACUCAGCUUUAUUCCACUUUUGAUUUAUAUAUCUGAUAUAGGAUUUUUCUGCUUGGGGCAAAAAAUUAUACUAUGUCAGAUUUUCUCUAUACAGAUAACUUACACAUUUUCAGUAAAUUCAGGUCUUUGCUGAAUUGGAACAAUGCCUUUGAAGGAACCAAACUACAGGAAAAUUGCUCUAUUUCUUUUAAUUGGCAGGGCAAAAGUAGCUGAAUAAAACAGCUCUGAAGCACUGCCCAGCACAAAACAGAGCCCACGAGCACAAGUGCACAUAAAGAGGUAACAGAGAGUUAAUGGGUCCAUGGGUAGCAGCACCCAUGGUUUAGCAGUGCCUGGAGAAGUGAAACAGCAGCUCCCACAGGUGCUCCUGCCCCUUCAUUCCAAGGCACACUGGAAGCAAAGAACAAUGUCUUUGUUGGCCACCACAUUUUACAGAGGUGACCAAGUGACUUGUCUGAUUUCUUCCUCUGUGUUUGAAGCUGCCUUGCGUGCACGGUGCUCUCCUGGGACAUUUGUGGACUCUGGGGCCUGGAGACUUCAUUCUGACUUGUCUACACCAGGAACUAAAAAGGUUUCAGUCUUCCUGUAAAGUGAAGGUGCACCUUGAACUUGAGAGCACAUCUGCAACUUUGUUAUAAUAACCAGAUGUCAAGUCUUAUCACAUGUUAAAUGUGAUGGCUUACUGUGAAAGAAAGCAAUAAAUGGUGACUUCUUUCUGCAAACCAAAGUGGUGGUAUAUUAAAGAUGGCAAAGUCACUUAAAAUAAGCUAUCUGCUGUUUUGCUUAGAGUAAGAAUUCAUUUGUGGCAAAUAACUGCAGAAUAGCUUCUGUUUACAUCUACUCCAACCCUGUUUUGUAGACUAAUAUCCUCUAGUCAUUCUGUUGUUAUUUUAGAGGUCUAAGUUUUAAUUGGCAUAUUCUGCCUUUACAGUAAAUUUUCACAUGAUGAAUUGCAGAGAUGUAACUAUACUAGAAAUGUCCUGCAGGUAGGAAAAGUUUCCUUUUUCUAGGUCAGACAACUACACUAUCCCACUGGAAAAAACCCACUGGUAAAACACCUAUCUAUUAUUCAUCAGGUUGCAGAUUUUGCUACUUUUUCUUAAGAGCUUUCCCUAAUCUAGAUAGUUAAUGUCAGAGCUAACAAAAAUGAGUUCAUAAAAACCACACAGAUAAAGUGAACACUCUCUGAAAUCAAUUAAAAACUGAGGGGUGUUACAGGUGUCUGGAUCUGAGAGUAGUACAAGGUCUGCUCUCCCUUAAUUUCUUUUGACUUGUUUCUUCCAGAAGAGGAUAUGAUACUAUUCUCACUGCAGUCCCACUUGCCAACAAGGAGAUCCAGGUAAUCCUCAAGCUGCUGAGUCAAUAUGUGGUUAUAGAGAAAACUAUUUCUUGAAUAUGAGAGAUUGUAUGUCCACUGGGAAAGCUCUUUUUCAGACAUAUCUCUCAAGCAAAACAAAACAAAACUAUUUCUCAUAAGUCACAUUUUAUUAACCUCUAGCUGUUCUUGGUCUUCUCUCUCAACUUCUCUGUACCUUUUUUAAUAAUCCUACUGAGGCUGAACACAGACUUGUUUUUCAGGACUCACCAGCACAUGUUUUCUGCAAUAGCACAGUUUUUCCAGUCUUUCACAAAAGAGCCUCAUUUUUUAUCUGCUACACAGGUAGACCUCCAUUUAUAUUAAUGAAAAUGAUGACUCAUUCCCAGCUACAGCUUUUUACAUGUCUGUAAUGAAUUCCCUAUUGUUAUUUUUGAAUCACUUCUUAAGUACAUUCAAUUUGAUUUGUGGUUUUGUAUUCCAACAGGGUUUGAAAGCGUUUGAAACUCAGUAACAUCAGAAAUUUUAAUUUCCACAGCAUCUCUGGAGAUACAGCAGUUGCGUAGUGGGAUUUCUUCAAGGUCACUUAGUUCAUCAGGAAUUCAUCUCACAAGGAGAUGUAGGUUAUGGCAUCCUCAGUAGUUACAAUAAGCAUAGCUUUUUCAUGUUUCUGAUACCUUCAACCAUGAAGGGGAUGGUGAAAAAAUAACAGGUCACGUUCUUAGCUGAACUGUAUGUUUGGUAUGUUUCUAAUGCCUCUGUCACAGCAAACUGCUAGACAGAAUUAGAUCUUUACUGUCUCACACACUACAGCUGUCUGUAUUUUGAUGCCAUCAAUUAUACGGCAAGUUUUAUUUGCAUAAAAAGAUAAACACAGCCUACUGAUCAGGUACUGUAUGGUGCAAUCAAUAUGAACUACCCCUCAGCCCAAAGAAAGUAACUCAUAGAAGAUCAAAUGGGAUCUUCCUGUGGAACAAAUCCAGGAGAAGCAUUUUUUUACCAAGUCAUCAAAGGCAGACAUAUGAAUCACCAUAUCCAUUUCAGUUACUGGAUUGUGUGCAAUCACUCACUAGCAAACACUCAAACUUUUCAACCUUGGUAUCCAGUGACUGACCUCACAGAAAGCCAGCAGUAGGUCAGAGAGGGGAACUGUGUCACCUUUGCAGUCUCAAUGGCAGUGCAUGCAGAUUAGCCAGUUCUGGGGUCAGUCUGUCAGAUCAGCUUGGCUGUGGUAUGCGUUACUAACUUGAAAGGAGCAUUCUGAUACUUUGUGGCAUUUAGGAUACAGAGCAUAUCACAACUUCAGCACAAAUGUGUAAGAAAUCACUUUUAUAAAUAAGUUCUAGGGUUUUCAAGUUGUAUUAGCAUACAAACUUCAGAGGUUAUUAAAACAUUCACAUUCUCAGCACAAUAUACUUUAUUGUGGUGUAAAAUACAAGUAAGCAGCAAAGUGUUGUAGUGCUUGUCAAAACCUGUCUCUUAUUACCUGAGGGUAAUAUGGAGACAGUACCUGCAAAUUUCCUCCUUGUACAACUACUUCAUAUCUUGUUUGCUUACAGAGUAAGUUGUGCAAUGCCAUUCUGUUGCCAGAAAAAUUAGAGAACAGUUUCUUGAUGUAAAGCAAGUUCCAGUUCAUAAGUAUUUGAAAUUUUAUGAUACAGCUAUCAAAAGCUUGUUUUUCUGUCCAGAAUUAAUGGUCCAGUUAGCAAAUAUUUCUGCAACCAGAAGAAAUGAGUGUAUCUAUGAUGCAUUUA
Molecule: long non-coding RNA, 3761 nt
Organism: Passer domesticus (house sparrow)
Lineage: Eukaryota; Metazoa; Chordata; Aves; Passeriformes; Passeridae
Exons: 4
Source: RefSeq, a predicted model, not a curated record